UUUCGAAUCAUUCACAAUGGGCGAAAGCCUGAUGGUGCGACGCCGCGUGAGGGACGAAGGCCUUCGGGUCGUAAACCUCUGUCACCGGGGAAGAAACGCUGCAUAUUAAUCGUAUGCAGUCUGACUUAACCCGGAGAGGAAGCAGUGGCUAACUCUGUGCCAGCAGCCGCGGUAAUACAGAGACUGCAAGCGUUAUUCGGAUUCACUGGGCGUAAAGGGUGCGCAGGCGGUCGUGUGUGUCAGAUGUGAAAUCCCGGAGCUUAACUCCGGAACUGCGUCUGAAACUACACGACUAGAGCAUUGGAGAGGGAAGUGGAAUUCAUGGUGUAGCAGUGAAAUGCGUAGAUAUCAUGAGGAACACCAGAGGCGAAGGCGACUUCCUGGACAAUUGCUGACGCUCAGGCACGAAAGCAUGGGGAGCAAAAGGG
RNAcentral lists this ribosomal RNA (428 nucleotides) under uncultured bacterium. RNAcentral describes it as "bacterial SSU rRNA". It matches the Rfam family "Bacterial small subunit ribosomal RNA", at positions 355 to 776 of the family's 1533-position model. The record is from RNAcentral.